AAUAUAGGAUGCCCAGUAAAAUUUGAAUUUCAGAUAACGGACAAAUAAUUUUUUAGUAUAUGUCACAUGUAAUAUUUGGGACAUAAUUAUACUAAAAUUUUAUUUGUUAUUUAUUUGAAAUUCAAAUUUAACUGGGCAUCCUGUAUUUU
This 149-nucleotide microRNA precursor is filed under the name Tursiops truncatus (common bottlenose dolphin). RNAcentral's name for it is "miRNA (ENSTTRG00000023279.1)". The record is from RNAcentral. Lineage: Eukaryota; Metazoa; Chordata; Mammalia; Artiodactyla; Delphinidae.